UGGGGAAUCUUGGACAAUGGGCGCAAGCCUGAUCCAGCAAUGCCGCGUGGGUGAAGACGGCCUGCGGGUUGUAAAGCCCUUUUAGCGGGGAAGAAAGCCCUGGGUUGAACAGACCUGGGGGGUGACGUUACCUGCGGAAGAAGCACCGGCCAACUCCGUGCCAGCAGCCGCGGUAAUACGGAGGGUGCGAGCGUUAAUCGGAAUUACUGGGCGUAAAGCGCACGUAGGCGGUCAGUCAAGUCCGUUGUGAAAGCCCUGGGCUCAACCUGGGAACGGCAAGGGAGACUGACUGACUGGAGUGUAACAGAGGACCGUGGAAUUCCCGGUGUAGCGGUGAAAUGCGUAGAGAUCGGGAAGAACACCGAUGGCGAAGGCAGCGGUCUGGGUUAACACUGACGCUGAGGAGCGAAAGCGUGGGGAGCAAACAGG
This 429-nucleotide ribosomal RNA is filed under the name uncultured Gammaproteobacteria bacterium. Its description in RNAcentral is "bacterial SSU rRNA". It matches the Rfam family "Bacterial small subunit ribosomal RNA", at positions 355 to 776 of the family's 1533-position model. Lineage: Bacteria; Pseudomonadati; Pseudomonadota; Gammaproteobacteria. The record is from RNAcentral.